CCCGCUGAACUUAAGCAUAUCAAUAAGCGGAGGAAAAGAAACUAACAAGGAUUCCCCUAGUAACUGCGAGUGAAGCGGGAAAAGCUCAAAUUUAAAAUCUGGCGGUUCUUGUAGCCGUCCGAGUUGUAAUUUAGAGAAGCGUUAUCCGCGCUGGACCGUGUACAAGUCUCCUGGAAUGGAGCGUCAUAGAGGGUGAGAAUCCCGUCUUUGACACGGACUGCCAGGGCAUUGUGAUGCGCUCUCAAAGAGUCGAGUUGUUUGGGAAUGCAGCUCAAAAUGGGUGGUAAAUUCCAUCUAAAGCUAAAUAUUGAGGAGAGACCGAUAGCGAACAAGUACCGUGAGGGAAAGAUGAAAAGAACUUUGGAAAGAGAGUUAAACAGUACGUGAAAUUGCUGAAAGGGAAACGCUUGAAGUCAGUCGCGUUGUCCGGGGAUCAACCUUGCUUUUGCUGGGCGUACUUCCCGGUUGACGGGUCAGCAUCAAUUUUGACCGUUGGAUAAAGUCUAGGGGAAUGUGGCAUCUUCGGAUGUGUUAUAGCCCUUGGUCGCAUACAACGGUUGGGAUUGAGGAACUCAGCACGCCGCAAGGCCGGGUAUUCGUACCACGUUCGUGCUUAGGAUGCUGGCAUAAUGGCUUUAAUCGACCCGUCUUGAAACACGG
Molecule: ribosomal RNA, 660 nt
Filed under: uncultured fungus
Lineage: Eukaryota; Fungi
Description: eukaryotic LSU rRNA
Rfam family: Eukaryotic large subunit ribosomal RNA
Source: RNAcentral